AGGAAAUAAUUGAUCAUCUUCAGUUUUGAAAGACUAAGUAAAGUUUUUCUUUUGGGUUUUGGGGUAGACAGGGGCCUAUAGCUCAGUUGGUUAGAGCACACGCCUGAUAAGCGUGAGGUCGGUGGUUCAAGUCCACUUAGGCCCACCAAAAGAUGCUACCGCAAAAUAAAGUUCUUUGAAAAGUAGAUAAACAAGGUUCAGUAGAGAAAA
RNAcentral lists this unclassified non-coding RNA (210 nucleotides) under Candidatus Phytoplasma omanense. Its description in RNAcentral is "16S-23S ribosomal RNA intergenic spacer". The stretch from base 72 to 145 matches the Rfam family "tRNA". Lineage: Bacteria; Bacillati; Mycoplasmatota; Mollicutes; Acholeplasmatales; Acholeplasmataceae. The record is from RNAcentral.